RNAcentral lists this long non-coding RNA (30292 nucleotides) under Populus trichocarpa (black cottonwood). Its description in RNAcentral is "long non-coding RNA (PTRI_LNC000843)". Lineage: Eukaryota; Viridiplantae; Streptophyta; Magnoliopsida; Malpighiales; Salicaceae. The record is from RNAcentral.
AGAAAUCAUGAAGAUCGUGGAAGAGGCAAAAAUUCCCCCACCGGUAUCCAGAUCUAUUGGAGGCUUUGGCUGGGAAGGAGAAGAAGAUGGUGACAUGAAGGAAGAUGAUGCAGAGGCUCAUGAAGAAAAAAUCGAUAACGGGGAGGAUGAGUAUGAGAAGAGAGUUAAGGAGGCACAAGCAAGUGGGGAGUUUCAUGUGAGUUAAGAUCCAUCCUCUCUUCCUUGCACAUUCACGGUCUUAACCUCAUCCUUUGGAUAUUUAUAGGAUCCUUUGAAGCUUUGUGUAAAACUGUGUGUCAGUGAGCUGGUCCUGAAUAUAUGUUUGUGAAUCCUAGCUUACCGGUUAGGAUGGGUGUGAAAUUAUUGAAAUUAGAGUCAUCAUCGGAGUCAUAAACUUUGAAUUCAACUGUGUUGAGCAGGAAGGACGUCUAGCUGUUUAGAUCCUUGAAUUAGGAGGAGGUUCUGAAAUACCUAUCAGAGUUAUUUAUACAAAUUAUGGUUUUUGUUUGAAAGGGUUAAUAUGAUUAGUGUGACAAAUUAUGGGCUUUGUAAGGAUGUCUCCUUAAGUAUCAUGUACAUUACUUUUACUAAAUAUACUAAAAGAACUAAGUUUGGUGGUUACCGUAACUUUUUUUUCUCUUCAGUUUGUGUUUUUUAACUGAAUCCCCUUUUAGUAUAAGCUCAUGAGAUGGUUUGAAAUUGUGAAAGAAAGACAAAAUUAAAAGAUUGAUUACCAAAAUAUAAAAUUCCUUCUUCAUCCAUUUCAAUUCUUUUUGUUUUUGGAAUUUUCAUUGUAGUUUUCAAGUUUAUUUUCCUGAGUUUAGGAAAGGUGAGGGAAACUUGUCAUAAAAUGACGAAGGAGAGAGAAAAUGAUCGAUUGAUUAUAUUUCAAUAACAAAAAAGCUAGAUUUUGGUGUAAAUAUGUUCUAUUAGAUAAGAAAAAUUUCUUGGAGGUGUUUUUAGUCUAUUAUCUUGCUUGAAAAGUGAGGUCGGGGUUGAGAGAUAUUUUUUUUAAUUUGAUUUUAUAUUUUUUAAUAAUUUUAAUAGUGUUUUGAGUUGAGAGAUUGAUUUAUUGAUAUUAUAACAAUGCUUAUUAGGUUUUUUUAUGCAAAAAUAAGUUAAAAAAUAAAUUUUAUCAUUAGAAAAAUCCCAAGUCAAUUUUUUAACCAUUGGACAACAUUUUCUGUUUUUAUUUUAUUUUUUUUAAAAUGGGUGUACAGUAUACACAAAAAAACCAAAAAAAUAAAUGGGUAACUUAUUGCUCAUUCGCAUCUUUUACACAAAAAAAAAAAGAAAAAAAAAAAGCUAGGUACAUGAAUAUAGUCUUGUAGCCCAAUGGCCAUUUUUUUAAAUGAAUCAGGUGCGUUGGGUCAUUUAAGUCCAUGGUUUAUUAUGUUAUUUUUUUUUUCAAUUAAAAUAAAUAACUUCAAAACAUACUAAAAAUAAUAUAUUAUAGUAUUUUGAAAAGAUUGUUGAGCUUUUUGUGCAAUCCUUUGUGAUUUCUUUGGUUUUUCAUGAAAUUUUGUUUUUUAGAUUUUUUACACAUUUUUUUAAAUUAUUAUAUGAUUAAAUAAAAAAAAGUUUUAGUAUAUUAUUCUUAUAUUUUUUAAUAUAUUCACGGAAUAACAAUGAAACAAUCAAAUUUUUUUAUUAAAUUUUAUUUUUAUGAUUCUAUUAAUUUUUUGCUUCAAUAAAUAAACAUUUUGAUAAAUAAAUUGUCAAAAAGAAAAAAGAUAGCAUUAAGUUGCCUUUUUUUUUUGUUUUUCGGUUAUUUUAGAGUUUAUUGGAUAUUAAUUCUAAUCACCUUGGUUUCUAUUAAAUUAAGUACAUUGUUAUAAAAAAGUUAUAUUUUUUUAUUGGGAAAAAUAAAUUAUACUAACAAAUUACUUUUCUAUAAAAUUUAAAUUAUUAAUUUUCUUAUAAAAAAAUCAUUGACAUAAAUGUAAUAAAAAAUAAUAAUAAUUGGAUAUCAUGACUUUUAGCUUCUUAAUUUAAUAUUUGAUUUGGGUCAUUCCUUUUGGUCGUUAUUUGAUUUGUGCAUCAUAUAUGUCCUAGUUAAAAAAUCUAAAUUGACCUAUUAGGUUGACUUGAAACACCAUCUUGGAAUUAUUUUUUUUUGGUAACACUAAGAGUUGAAAGUUUGUUUUUAUGUUGAAAGAUAAACUCGGGUCGAUUUGCGACCUAACUUUUAAUUUGUUGCUUAAAAUAAUAUUGUUGUUAUUAUUUGUUAAAAUAAAUUUGAAGUCAAUCAGAUUGAUUCUUCUGAUUUGUGAUCCAUAUCAUGUAAUUAGUCUUUCCCGGAAUUGGGUUUUAUAUCUGUGAUAUAUAUAAUUCACAUUAUCAAUUGGCUUAUAUUUUUUUGACUGUUAUUUUUAUAAUGGAUCAAAUUCUUCCUGGAGCUAUAAAUAAAUAUUAGAUGCUUGCAUCUCAUUCUAACUAGACCGUUGUCAUAUUGACCUCAAAUAUAGCUUCCAAAUGCGACCCGCUUUGAAGUGCCUCAUGUUAUGUGGUUACAUGGUGCUGUAAUUGACUCAAGCAGAGCAUAUAGUUUCAUUUCUCACUUUAUUAUAAUGAGAUGAUGGUAAAAAUAGUAUAUACACUUUAUGAUUAUUUUUUCAAUUUAUUGAAAUUUUACCAAUUAAAAGCAUCUAAACUCACAUAAAUCCUUCAAUUGGUCAAGCACGUGUCAAUUUCACAAGCCAAUAAUAUAAACUACGUGGUAAAAAUUAUUUUUUAAUGUGUUUUUUAUUUUUAAAUGUAUUAAAAUAAUAUUUUUUUUAUUUUUAAAAUUUAUUUUUUAUAUCAACAUAUUAAAAUAAUUCAAAACUAUUAAAAAAUUAAUUUAAAAUAAAUAAAAAUAAAAAGUUAAUGAAAAAUUAAAUAGCUUCAAUGACAUACACAAGAGAGAUAAACAUGGGUACCUUUUAUACAUUUAAUUAUAUCUAAACUUUGACAUGUUAGUUGGGUCACGGGUGGGAUGUCUUUGAAAGGAAUAUUAUUAUGUCUCAAAAAUAUUUGUUGAAUAACAUUCCUUGUAUAAAUAUCAAGUAUUUUAGAUCAAGAUCAGUCUUCUUUCACCGCAGAAUCAGAUUAUUUAAAAAAACAAUAUUCAAGUGUUAAAAUGGAGUAAAAAAAAUAUUAAUAUUGGUUAACCUAAGUUAACAUAAAAAAUUUAUAAUCACGAUAAUUAGAACUGAGUUAAUUUAAAAUAUCUCGUUAAACAUGUAACCCAAAUCAUGAGAGUAGAAUAACUCGAUAAAAAAAAGAUAAACUCUUUUUAAAAAAUAUAUAUAUAUUAACUUUCCAAACCUGAAACCUGAGUUAUUAGAAUUUUUAUUAUACUAAAGGAUUAAAAAAAUGAUGAUCAAAAUUGAAAAAUAGAUUUUAUAUUUGAUUGAAGUGGAAAAUUAAAAUUAAAAAUAAAUUUAGUUAAAAGACAAAAAAAUAAAAAGAAUAAUAAUUAAAAUUGACAUAAAAAACAAAAAAAAAAUUGGUUUGAUUAAAAGGUGAAAUUGAAAAGAAUAAUAACUCUUACAAAAAGGCUAAGAAAAAAUUAAAAAUCAAUAUGAUAAGGACCGAAUUAAAAAACAUAAUAUUAUCAAUCUGAAUUAAAAGUUGAAAUUAAAAACCAAUGGAACUUUUACAAAAAAAACUGAGGAAAAAAAAUCCAAAGAAUAAGGAUGGAAUUGGAAAAUCUAAUAUUUGAUAAAUUGUGAUUGAAGAAUAAAAUUAAAGACAAAUAACACUUCUAUAAAAGGAUCAAAACCAAAAAUUAGAAAUCAAAAAAUAAAAACUGAACUUGAAAUAUUAACAACCAAGAGAGCUUUUUUUUUUUUUUUUUUGAGAGAGAGAGAGAGAGAGAGAGAAGUGCAACGUUGACAAACUAGACCACCACUAAAGAGAUGCGUUGCACCAAUAAAAAAAAGAGACGAUGAUACUUCAUAAAACACAAUAAAAUGGUAAUUUUAGAUGCUGGCAGACGCUGCGAGCACCGCCCAAAAAAUUUAGGCGCCUUCCACAUUUUCACAUGCCUCUAAGUGCAUUACAAACUACUAUUUUUUUUUAAAUCUUUUUAUUUAGCUAAAUACUAAAUUGACAGAACAUGGUAAUAACAAAAAAAUCUUUAGAAAAAGAUGAAAAAACACAUGAUUCCAGUUUGACUUCCAAUAAUAUUUUAAUCAUUUUAUUAUGUUUUAUAUAUAUAUAUAUAUAUAUAUAUAUAUAUAUAUAUAUAUAUAUAUAUAUAUAUAUAUAUAAAAGAUGAAAUUAUCUCUCAUCUUCCAUGAUAAUAUUAAAAAAAAAAACAUUUUAGAAGUAGCCCCUUAAUGGUAUUAUUGAGAUUUUUUACUUUUAAGAGUAUUUCACUCCUUUAAUGUUCUUUUAAAAUGGGGAAGAGACAUAAGUGACUCUAAACAAUUUGAAAAUGACUCUGCACCCCGUGAAAAUACUUUAAAGUCGCUAAUAGAUAGUUAUAAAUUUUUUGAUUGGAGAAGCAAAGAAAUCAUUACUAUUUCAAUGAAUAAUGUAAAAAGUUUGUAGCUAUAGUAAUCUUUCCCAACAGUGUUAGCUUCUUUCAAUAUAUUUAUUUAACACUAGUUCCUUAAUCUAGACGUUAUAUUUAAUUAAUUUUAUCUUUUGAUAGAGAUAGAAAUCUCUCCUCUAUCAUAUAUUAUUCUUUCUUGGUCUAUUAAGUCAACCUUUUUUUUAUAUCAAAAUAAUAUAAUUUCAAGAUUUAAAAAAAUAAUAAUAAAAUAACAUGUUUUAGUUAAAAUAAAAAUUUGAUUCAAAAUAAACUUCUGCUCCAGUAAAACUCUAAAUUAGCAAGUUAUCCGAUCAUACCAAGUUUUUAUAAGUACUGUAAAUACAUCUAAGACUAAAAUAUAUCUCUUCAAAGAAUAUUUCAAUCCUCGAAAAUCACCAGGAAUUGAGAUCAACUCAAGGCAGUCACUUAUCUUUAAUUGAUUUGGUAACUGUUUUUUUUGCUUUUUUCUAUGGUGGGGAGAUUGUUGAGUUGGGUCUAUUGUGAACUGAGUUGUAAUAUUGCUUUCAGAGCAGCUUAUGUUUUCUCAAAUGCACAUUCAUCUUCCAUGUAUCUUACUCAAUCUGGUUCUCCCUGUUUUCCAGCAGGCUCCAUUCUUCCAUUGCACUUUAAAAAAAGAGAACUGGCCAUAUAAUAGCUUGUUUUGCUAGGUAUAUUUUAUAAAUUUCUCCACUUAUUGGCUCGAAUUACAAAUCUUUUAAGCAUAUUGUUCUCAAUAUAUAUGCUUCCGAUAUGAAAAGUGAUUACACAUGUUUGUAGCUUCUGACAAGGCUGAGGUGUAUGUGUUGUGGCAUUAAGUAUGAGAAGGAAGUGAUCAUUUGUAGACGAAGGGGUCGCUUUAAAGAUGUUAAAAUCAUGGUUGAUAACAGUCUAUAAUUUUUGUUUUGCCUUCCAGGAUCUGACCUCUACCUGGCUCUAUUUUAACUACUGUACCUGUCGCCAAAUUUUUGUUACCCUUUUUAACUUGCUGAUGGAGUUGAAGAUGUUCUGCAUUCUCCACGACCUGCUUUCCCUGUUCUUCUCAAGCCAUGGAACAUCGCUUGUUGAAUCUGAUCCGAUAAUCCAAUGGGCGGGCUGAGAUAAGGAACAAGAUGCCACUAUUUAUAAAGCUUUCCUAAUUGCAAGAAGAUAACCAUGAAUUAAUAGCAACAUAUUAUGUAAGAUGAAGGUAGAUUUACAAGACAAAAGGUACAAUAAUUCUUCAGAAAUUUGGAGUCCAUCAGCAUAAUCAUCUAUUCAGCAAGAAUAAUAUUGUUCUUUCUACAAUUACAAAAUUCAGCUUUGAAAUUCUCUUCCUGCCCAAGAACACCAUCAACAUGUAUAUAUAACCUCGUAAAAAUCGAAUUCACAUCCAUAUCUAUAUUAAGCUCUUCUAUCUAUAUGAUAAGCUACUAGCUCCAUUCAUUUUCUUACAUUUUGACAAAUAUACCUAUCUCAUAAAAAUACAAGAAAAUGGUGCAAGUCACUCAUUUAUCCACCAACCAACCUGACAAACACUAUUCUGCAUAAGCUUCAAAUAACCAUUCAAUGGCUUCCUUCAGUCUUCGAGGUCCGAGUCUUUGAGAUACGACUGCACAUAUGAUAGUUAAAAUAGCUAACUUGUGUUAGUUUUGGAAAAAUAAACAACGCUAAACUACAAAAUGCAGAAUGAAGCCAUGAAAUUCAGCAGACAAAUUAUUUUCAAUCCCACCAGAGUUGUGCAGUGUUGUAAGCUUGGAAUGGAUGCCAGCUUUGAACAAUUCCAUAUCCUUAAACUUUUAAGAGACUUGAAGCCAUGAAAUUCACCAGACAAAUAUCUCAGUUCAUCACAUCCGUCAAUUUCAAAUUGUACAAAAGAUGAAAGACGACAUAUCAUAAUGCUUUUCAACUUAACUCAAAGGGAGGAUAUGCUAAAGUUAAUUAAGGAUAAUCUGCUGCAUUCUCAAAAUAGAAUGGCCCAGCAAGCAAAUAGGAAAAGAAGUGAAAGAGUUUUCUACAUGGGAGAUUUAGUUUAUGUCAAGCUGCAACCAUAUUGAUAAAAAUCCAUUCACAAUCGAACUUCUCAUAAAUUAGCAGCAAAGUACUAUGGUCCUUAUCCAGUUAUUAAGAAGAUUGGAAUAGUUGCUUAUGAAUUAAAAUUACCUGCAACAACAGCAAUCCAUCUUGUCUUUCAUGUUUCUCAGCUGAAGAAGCAUGUAGGCAAUCAGACUAUCCACUAUUCCACUCUGAUCUUCCUACUCCUACAAAUAGAUCUCUUCUGCAACCACAAAAAAUUAUCGAUAGAAGAAUGGUCAAAAGAGGGAAUGCUGCAGCUAUUCCGUUCUUGGUUUUAUGGAAGAACUUACCCUUGACAGAAACAACCUGGGAAUAUGCUGAUGAAUUGUGCUUGAGGUUUCCUGAAUUUCACCUUGAGGACAAGGUUAUGGUAUGCAUUGUCAUAGCUGGAAACAAAAAAAGAAGAAAACAAAACAUAGAGGGAAGUGGGAUCGAUAUGUUUGGCAGUGUGGUAGCGGUUGCUUUUCAAAUAACUUUUCAUGCUGAAAUGCAUGUUAAUGAUGUUUUUUUAUUUUUUAAAAUUAUUUUUGAUAUCAACACAUCAAAACGAUCCAAAACAUACAAAUCAUAUUAAAUUUUAACAAAAAAAAAAAUUUAAAAUUUUUAAGAAUUCGAUUUACACCGCGUUCCCAAACUGAACGAAACGAUUGCGUUUUGUGCAGCCUUUUUAAAUAAGAAUAAGUUGGAAAGAAUGGCCAGGUGUAGCCUUUUUAAAUAAGAAUAAGUUGGAAAGAAUGGCCAGGUGUGGAGUGUCACUCUGGCAAUAGGAAAGUAGAGUUUGUCUUUAUAUUCCCUGAUCAUUGGAACAGAAAGGCAUGAAAAAUGAAUGACAGACAUUUUCCAAGAUUCUCUCCCUAAUCCUCUCGUUCUUCCUCCUUUCCAUCUCCUCUAACAAAUUCUAAGAGUGUAACCACCGUUCUCCUUCCUACCUAUCUUUCUCUUCCAUUGUUAUAUCCUUAAGGUUCACCUUUUUUUUCUCUAACUUGCAGCAUAUUUUCAGUUUCAUUUGAUUUGCUUUUUUUAUUUAUUUCCCACACACCUUUACCAUUUAUUUUCACUUCGUUUUAGGAUGGGCUGCCAUGUUUACUUUGGCUAUCAUAGCUACUGCCCUAAUUAGCUUCUUUACCAUCGUGUCAAGUUUUCUGAUUUUGUUCUUUAAUAGAGUAACGGAUGGUUAGUUGUAUUUUUUUUUUCCUGAAAAGCAUGGUUGUGUGCUCUCUUGGUUUCUUUCUUGCAUUUGUUUUUUGAUUGUUUUCUCUAUGUUGUUCUUGGUUUUGGUUCUUUAUUUUUUUUUCUCUUGGCAAUCUCUGGUCAUUGUUAAUUUUUUAUUUCGAUUGUGAGUAUGGCUGUGAAAAUUGAUUUUGCUAAGUCUUUGUUGAAUGUUUUUGGGCGGCUGUAUCGGUUGUUUUGAUCUAUUUGCUCUGCAUCUGUUUUAGCUUUUGAUUAUUUUUUUCUCUUACAAUCCCUAUUUGGUGUUUUUUCUUUGGGUUUUUUUUUUUUAUUAUUUUGAUAGGUUAACCAGAAGAUUUGACAUCUUAUACAUUGGUUUUUUUUGGUUUUGGAUUUUGUUUACUAGGUAUGCCGUGUGGGGCCUCUUCUCCUGCGUUUCCAGCUGUGUUGGGUGAGCUUAUGUGGUUUUAUUUUGCUGGUAAGGCUAACCAUUGAGGUCCUUUACUAGAUGUUUCAACACUUCCAAGGUUACAUAUUUCAUAAAGGAUGAUGUACGAAGUAGUUUAAAGAAUUCAUUGGUUGCUAAACGUUUAGUAUUUGGUUUUUUGAAACUUAGAUGUGUGUUGGUGUUUUAGAAUCAUGGUCAUGAAUGGACUUAUGGUUGGUUACAGAGAUGUCAGAUUUUAUUUAGGCAUUCAAGCGUGAUUCUGUAUCUUGUGGAUCCUCUGGUCCUUUUUUUGGUUGGUUGUGAGGAACUUUUGGUCCUGCAUUUCCAACUUUGGAGCAUGGGCCUAUGCUAAUCAGUUUAUGUUCCUUGGUAGGGAAGCAUGCGAGCAGUUAAGAAUUAGUCUUGGCUGCAAAAAAAAUAUCAAGCAGCUGUCGCUUUUAGUUCAUUUGUUAUGACAACUUGUUGCUCUUUUCUCUUUUGAUAAAACCUAUCGGUUGCUUGAUGUUUCUUUUAGCUAUGGUUUCCCUUUUCUUUUCUGGGUUUUCUCUUUGAUGUUAACAGACUUCAUUGUGCUUCUUUCUCACUCUUACUCGGUGCUCUUUGCAGGUGCUGCUGUUCUUCUGUUCUGUUGUAUAUCUCUGAUAUAUUAACAGCUUGAUUUAUCAAGAUCUGUUUUAUACUGUUGUCAUGGUGUUCAUGUCCCAUGGACGUGGUUGUCUGGUCUUUCUAGCCCCUUUGCUUUCAUUUUUUGCUUUUCUUUGUUGAUUUGGUAACUGUGUUUUUAUUCUUUUUUCCCCCUUUACUAGGGUAGGGAGAUUGUUGAGUCGGGUCUAUUGUGAACUGGGUUGGAAUAUUGCAUUUUGUGCAGCUUAUGUUUUCUCAAAUGCACAUUCAUCUUCCAUAUAUUUUACUCAAACCGGUUCUAGUUUGUUUGGACAGGAAAUAGAAAGUGGCAUAUGCUUCCUUCUGGAGAUUCUUGUCUUUGUAGUUUUUGACAAGGCUGAGGUGUAUGCGUUGUGGCAUUAAAUAUAAGAAGAAAGUGACUAAUUGUACACGAAGGGGUCACAUCACAUGCUGAUGCUGAAGAUUUUGGUCUACGUUGAUGUGUUUACUAAUUUCUAGCAAAUUUUGACUUGGAGUCAGUCGGAGUCAUGUAUGUACCACCUCUCUUGGUUCCCUCUCCCUUAUUCUCUCUAGUUGUCUACAGUUAUAUGAUUGCUGACUUUUCUUUAGUAUAGUGUUGUUUUCUUUUCUUUUAUUCUACUCUUCUUUCCUCUUCCCUUACCUUUGUUUUCUAAUUUUUAUUGUCGAACAUCUAUCACUUGCCUUAUUGUUUUGCUGUCAACUCUGCUAGGAUCACGCCCAUUCUCUCCUCAAUCAGCUUCUUGGCCUUCUUUCAAGGAUCUGAUGGUACAUCUCACUUUUUUUUCUUUCGCUUAUACAUGUUCUUAGCUUUUCAUAGUUGUUAUUUUAAGUACCGCUCCCCCACCUUUACUCAAUCUGUAUCCACCUUUCUUUUAAGUUUGCUUCUACACAGUUGUUAUGCUUCCAGCCUCCAUUUUUACCCCGGAAGCAGUUCCUUUUGUGUUUUUUUGCUGCCGCAGUUAUUUUCUCUUAUACAUUGUGCACGCACUGUUUUACCUCUUUUUUUAUCCAACAUUUCGUUUCAUUUUGCUUGCUUAGCAUCCUAUUCAUCAGUAGAUUUAUGACUUUGCAAGGUGCUGUUUAUGUUGGUGCUCUGUUAGCGAUCUCGGGCCCUAUAAUUAGGUUUUUUUAAGAGGCCUUUAUUCUUCUCUUUUUCAUUUUUUUUGUUAUUUUCGUUGAAUUUUCCAGCCUGUUGUGCAUCACAUAUGCUUUUGUUGUGAUCUUUGUUUAUGUAAAUUUGAUAAGGCAUAUGACAAAAUCCUGGUUAAAUGAUUUUUUCUUUUGAGGUGAAAGAUAUUGGAAAACCGAAGUUGAAAAAUUCAGUUGUGCAUGAAGCGAAUGAGCCUCUAUUAGAAAAUCUGAGCAUAUAUACAAUUAGACAUUGAUGAAGAAGAAGCAAUAACGUAUAAGUUAAAAAUCAUGAGAUCUUUUUUGAAGGGAACAUUGAGCAGAAGAAGAAACUUACUUUGCUGGUGCAAAGAGUUCUAGCUUGGAAAAUACUGUUGUCCUAUGGUUUGAUUUGGUUGUUAAAUACGAAGCAUCAUGUUGGGAGAUUGAGAUGCAAUUUUGGAGUGAUUGUGUUCCCCUUUAUAAGCCACAACUAACAUGCUAGGAUCCUCCAGGCUCCUUUCUACAUGGGUUCGAUCCAUGUGACCUUUUGACCACAAGUUGUUAGAUAUAAGAAUGGCUGGUGUAUCCUCAGAAACCCUUGAGCUGUCGAUUGAAGAGGGCUGGUUUUACCAUUUCUGUUCUACCUGUUGUUUUCAGGAGUAACAAGUCAAGUUUUUGGUACUUCAUUUUUAUGUUAGCAAUUUGUUUUGCUAUUGUUCUGCAAUUUUCUUGUAUCUUCUGAUAUUCUUAAUCUUGGGUGUCAUUAUGCUGAGCGUUGCAUCCACUUUGAGCAGGUCUUUGGCAUUCUACCACAGCAUUACCAUGACGACUGGGAUCAUCCUUGUAAUACUUGUGCUUCUUUUUCAAGUAGUGUAGUUAUAAAGCCUUAGUUCUUGAAAUUGUGAAUUGUGAUAUCGUAUCAGUUAGCCAUCCCUGCCGAUUCAAGUUUCUUUGUGCAUUUUGGUGAGUUUGAUUGUUCAUUCCUCAAGUUCUUUUUUGGAACCAGCAUUUUUCUUCAAAACUAUUUUCUGUUUUGAGCUCAAUAAGAAGGUUUAAACCAAAUUCUUGCGUUGUAAGGUUUAUUCUACAGAUAGAAGCUGAAGUGUGUUUCUUGACCUGAGGAUCCACAUUCCAAUAAAGACCACAGAAAACUGUGCGUCACACAUUUAUCCUAAUAAAUUACCACUAGUCUGCAUAAGCUUCAAAUAACGAUUCCAUGGCGUCUCGUCCUGGAGGUUCCUACAACAGUUAAAAUAGCUAACAUGGUGUUAGUCAUUGAAAGAUAAACAACGCUAAAAUUCAAAAUGGUUGGAGUUAGAUAAUAUAUUACCAAUAUAUAAUUUGAAAAAAUGUUUGAAAAAAUGUUGGAAUAGUAAAAGCUAAUAAUGCCAUGUGAUAGUGUACGGAAUCAAAUUUAGGUUAUAAUAGAAAAAAUCCUCUGCAUGCAAAGUAAAUAAAAAAAAAUAUUUAAAUCCCAACUUAUUUGUACACGUGUAUGCUCUAUUAUGAUUGUUGGGAUAUGAGAAAUCUUGGGCCACUCAGAGCCGUUCUCCUUUCUACAAUUUUCUGAGAGAUGUGGACAUCCCCACCAAAUCUGAAAUUUCUUUAAUUUGGAGAGGCGUUGAAUGGCUGCUGAGCUUGGCAGAUACUUGAGAUUCUUGCAAUUCGCAAUCUCAAGACGUCGAAGAGAAGAAAGGUUGGCCAACCAUUCUGGCAAAGCUUCCUCAAAUUCCUCUCCCUUGAAAUCCCUUAUAGAUAAUUUCUCAAGGGCAGUGAGGUGUUGAAGUUGAUGGGGGUACACUCUUCAGUUUAUCCCACCCCCAUAUCUGUAGUUUUUGAAGGGACCCACUCAAGUUGAGGUGUUGGAUUGAGUUUAAAAAUCCUGCAGGAAAAGCCUCCAUCUCCUCUGAGAAACAACCACCGAUGCUCAAUUCCUUCAGUUGGGUGAGGCUGCCUAACCAAUCAUCCUCUGGGAUAUCUCUCAAACAGGGACACAUACUGAUUUCUAAUUCAACAAGAGAACGUAAUUGUCGUAAACCAUGCCAAUCAAUAUUGAUGAGCUUCUCACAUGAUGAAAUGGUUAAUCCUUGAAGCGAAGACAGUUCUUGUAAAUCACUGAUAUGGAUAAGCUCUCUACAAUUCCUUAUCCGCAAUUUCCUUAGAGAUGCGCAACAUUGUAGUCCGCUUGGAAGAGCUCCCAAUUUACACCCAUAAACAAUCAAUCUCUUCAAAGAAUAUUUCAAUUCUCGAAAAUCACCAGGAAUUGAGAUCAACUCACUGCACUGUUGUAUACUCAAUUCCACCAGAGCUGUGCAGUGUUGUACGCUUGGAAUGGAUGCCAGCUUUGAACAAUUCACUAUCCUUAAAAUCUGAAGAGACGCGAAGCCAUGAAACUCACCACAUAAAUAUCCCAGUUCCUCACAUCUUUCAAUUCUAAAUUGUACAAGAGAUGAAAGACGACAUAUCGGAAUGCUUUUCAACUUGCCACAACUCCAAAUACUCAACUUUUCAAGACAAGGAAAUACUUGAUCACCUUCUCUACCUGGUACUAUCCAUUCUUCAAGACCAUCCAUAUCCUCCAAAGUGAGUUCUUUUAGUGCUGGAAACAGUACUGCUGCACCGCCACUGCUACUAUAGAACUCAUUGCCUAUACAUUUCACAUUACGCAUUCCACUCAUCUCUAGAAUCUUAAGGCGAGGAAGACAUCCAAGUGCUGGGAGUUGUCUGCACUUGCUGCAGUCUUUCAUUCUCAGCACCGUCAGAUUAUUGAGUGGCAAUGUAGACAUCCAUGAUGGGAAAUAUUCACCUCCAUAACCCUCAAUUGUCAAGCUUCUUAUGUCUACGUGAGGCUGCAGGCCUUCUAGCACAUACUCGUUGUUAACAUUGCGGUUACCUUCAAGGCUCCAUUUAAGCACCAAUUUGUUCAUUCUUUUUCCACGCAGUUUUGCCUUCUCAGCUUCUUCUCUGUCUCUCACUUGCUCAAGCUUGCAUAUCUGCAAUUCUCCUCUUAGUUCAUUCAAACAUCCCAGCUCUUCAACCAUAUGAUUUUGACCCACAACAAAAAAAGGCAGAGUUUGAAGGCGUGUUAAGAGUCUCACCUCAGCUGGCACUAGCUUUGGAUCAUCAAAAUGAAGAUGUCUCAAGCUGACUAAAUUUCUCAUUUUCUUGGGAAGCUUUUCUAGUGACUUGCAAUCAGUGAAUCUUAAUGUUUCCAAAUGGUAGAGCUUGGUGAUGGAUUCCGGCAAUGCUCUGAUACUGGUACGCGAGACAUCAAGAUAUCUCAAAUGCCUCAGCUUCCAAAUUGAAUCGGGUAACUCUGUGAUAUUAGGCCCUCGCAAUUUGAUAGUUCUCAAACUUUUGAAUUUCCAAGACCCAUUGAAUACAUCAACCAUUGAGAAAACAGUAUGCAAUUUUCUAGCAUCAUCCGCUGGAAAUAUUGACUCGACAUCCCCACAAGAAAUGAGAUUGAGAUGACGAAUAUGAGAUGCACCAUCUACAGCCGAACCCGCCUCCAGAUUUAACGUUUCUGAUUUUGAGACCUGUAAUGCAAGAUCAUGCACAAAAUCAUGCAUCUUGCAACUUGUUACGAUCUCAUACGCAUUCCUUUCAACAUCUUGGAAAAAGGAAUUUGCAUGCAAGUCAUUGAAAUACUUGUUGCCUUCAUCUUCCAUCCUCCCAUUUGAUGGCCUGAGAAAACCUUCAGCCAUCCAAAGUUGAAUUAGCUCUUCCCUUCCGAUUUUAAAAUCUUUAGGAAAAAUGGAACAGUAUGAAAAACAUUUUUUCAGUGAUGGCAAUGACAAGUAAUCAAAACUGAGUCUCAAUAUGCGCAAAACUUUAUUUCCAUCCUGAUAAUCCCAAAUUCUACUGUUUAGAAUUGACUUCCACUCCUGUGCCUGCUUUCCGUGAAGAGUUCCUCCCAAAACUUUAGCAAGUAAUGGAAUCCCUCCACAUUUCUUUGCAAUAUCUUUUCCAAUAGACUCCAAGUCCGAAGCUAUUGUUUCUCGUCCACCCCUGCUCACCUUUUGCUUGAUAAUGGACCAAGAUUGAUCAUCUGAAAGUUGCCCUGGCUCGUGCUGACUCCCUGGAGAAGUCUUCAUCGUGUCCGCUACUUCCUUAAUGCGCGUUGUUACAACAACAGCAUUCCCAUUCUUAUUGUUGAUUUUUAACAGUUGCUCCUUCAAAUCAUUCCACUUAUCAUGGCCUUCCCACACAUCAUCAAGUACAAGAAAAAAUGUCUUCUUUUCCAGCUUUUCCUUAAGUUUUUUCAUAACUGCAUUUAGAUUGUUCAACAUAGUUCCAUCAACAUCUUGCAACAUCUCUCCUAAAAUCCUCCCUUUACUAAAAUCAUUAGAAACGCAAACCCAUAUUGUUACAUCAAAAAGCUUUUUCUCCCUCACUACUUCACAAAUUUUUUUUGCUAUAGUAGUCUUUCCGAGGCCACCCAUCCCCACUAUAGGGACAACAGAUAGAACUUGUUGAUCAGUCGAGCCAAUCAGCAAUUUCACAACUUUAGAGACAUCAUCCUCCCUUCCUACUACAACUUCUGAGCUUUCAAGCAAGGAAUCUGUCUCUCGCUCUAUAUCCCGGAUAACUUCAGGAGCACUCUCUACAUGUUGAGAUGCGAUUCCCAGCCCAAAGCCAAUUGCAAGUUUCUGAAUCUCAUCCAUUGAUCCAUUGAUCUCCUUAACUUUUUGACCCAUAUUCAGACGGAAUGCAACAGGGUUGUGCAGUGAAAAGCAGUCACGUACCUUUCCCUUCUUUUGGUCUUUUCGGAGAAUCUCAUAAGCAAACUCGUCUAGAACAUCUUCAGCAUCGUAAGCUACAUCUUGUAGCUUCUCCAGCCAAAGCUUCGCAGACUUGUCUGUUACUGGCCUUCUGGCUGCAUCUUGGAGCACAGCUUGGAUCAUGGUCAAGGACUGGUUGAGCUUUUGCAGCUGUCCCUCCAAUCCCCAGGCAAGUCUGAUCCCUUCAGCAGCUAUGGAACUGACCCUUGUCAAAGUCUCCUCCAUGGCAAACGUAAGAAAAAGCUCUGCUGCCAUAUUCUCUUGUUUUCUUUGGGAAAUCAGAGAAGAAAGAUUGAGGAAAAGAGAGAGAAGAAUGGUCUGAAAGUUGUGAAAUAGAGAUGAAAUGAAGAGUGUUUUGGAAUGAUGAGAUGCGUUCAACUUGAAAGCAGAGGUCCCUCCCUCCCUGUACUAAUUGAUUGAUGGCAGAGGCAGCAUCUUCCACGAACCACUGCUGUCAAAUUAGUCAUGCAAAGGCGAAGAAAAUGACCCAUGGCUACUGAAAGGAAUGGACUUGCUUGGGGAUUGGAAGGCCAGCUGCAAAAGCUCUGGUAGGAAAUGAGAAACACACAAGAUUAACUCCUUUUUCUUCUAUAAUAUUUUGGAAUGCAUUGAACAUUAAAGCAGAGAAAGUUGCAUGAGGGUCCCUUCCUCCCUAUACUAAUUGAUUGGUGGCUGUUGGCAGCAUCUUCCACGAACCACCACUGUCAAUUUGUCAUGCCAUGGCUAAUAAAAUUCCACACACGCCUCUGUCGGCAUAUUGUAUUUAGUACGACUUUUUGCAGAUUUUUCCUUUUACAUUUUUUGUAAAUUUCUCACUACAGUUUUAGCUACAGAACAUCAUGAAUGUUCCCACCUACGCCAUGAAACAAGACCUUUCUAAGACUCCACUUUCUUAUUUGGUCUCUCUAUUUAGAAGGCGGGAUGAAAAUGAGAGAUCCCACCUCCAGAAGGAUAUUGCUAGACCUUUCGUCGUCUGCAUAUGUAGCCAGCCACCUCCCUCGAUCCAUCAGAAAACUGAGAGAAGAUCAGUUCCUCUAAAAUGUUCAUAUUAAACGUAGGACAGACUGAAAGAUUAAGCAACUUAUUAAUCUAUGUAUAUUGAAUUUCCUUAAUUACUCUUUCUAGUACACGAGAGCUCACAAGAAAAUGGUGUGAGCAUAUAUUUUAAUAAUUUCUUAAUGCAUAUAUAUAAAUGUGAUGAGAUUUAUAAGUUGUACACGAGAGCUCACAAGGAAGCCGUUGGCCGGCCAGUUGCUUUCUAGGAUUGGACUUUUUCAAUCAAUGUGAUGAGAUUUGUCAUAUGAUUUGGUAUUGGUGGAGUAUGAAGGCAUACAUUCACUACUUGUUCAUAUGCACCAGUCCUUAACCUCAUUAUCCAUUUCCACGUGCUUAUAUAAGUCUAUUCCCUCAAUAGUUUACAGAAGUGUUUGCCUUGUGAUCCUGCGAGAUGCCCCGUUGCCUAAUGAUGACUUUAUAAACCACCAUUCAGAAUUUUCAAGACCUAAUGAUGACUUUGUCUAGAUUGGCUGGUCACAGGUGGUAAUGUGGUGGUUGUUUUUUAAAUAAAUAUUUUAUUAAAAUAUAUAUUUUUUAUUUUUUUAAAAUUAUUUUUUACAUCAGUAUAUUAAAAUAAUUUAAUAAUAAUAAAAAUAUAUUAAUUUAAAGUAAAUAAAAAAAAUUUAAUUUUUUUUAAAAUACUUUUAAAAAACAGAAACAUACAGACUUAAAUGUCUCGUUUUUGUGAACUCACCGAUUGCUCAGGUCCUUCAUUUUUUUAAAUUACCUUGUGUCUACUCUCUGCCGAAGUCUUUUUUUUUUUUGUUUUUGUUUUUUUUUUUUGAGGUAACGUAUUCUGAUGAAAGGAAGCAGUUGGCCGGCCGGUUGCUUUCUAGGAUUGAUAUUUUUACGAUGAAGAAAAUAAUAGAGUUUAGGGGAGUGGAUCCCAGUCCCAAUUUACCACAAAAAUCUCGAAUCAAGAUAUUAACAGCCGGAAAUACUUACUUUUAGACUCCGGUGUUUAAGUUGACUAUUAUCUACCUUCUUAUCUUGUUCUGGUUUCACAUCAGUAAUAUCUCUUCAAUUGUUUUUUAUAUUAAGAUUACCUUACCUUUCAAAUCGCUAGAAGAUAUAUUAGAGAAUCUUAAAAAGAAAAUAAACUAAGUAAUUAAUUCAUAAGCUCACAUCAAAAUACCUAAAUAAAACAAUCAAUCAUACAUAACACCAUUGUUUCAUAGGUAAAGUUUUUUUUAAAAUUAUAUCAUAUUUCUACGGGUUAUUUAAAUUAUUUUUGAACUUAUUAAAUUAAAUAAUUAGUUUAAUUUGAAAUUUGAGUUAGGCAAGAAACCGGGUCGAUAAGUUUCAAAAUUAAAUUGUUUAAUUGAAUUUAAUGAUAUUGCCAAAAAAAACUUCAUGCUCAAUUAUUUUUUAAGUUUAGAAAAAAGAAUAGUAUGAGCUUGAAUAGAAAAAAUAUUAUUCUUUUAAUGUUAGAUAAUGAUUUACAUUUCAUAACAAAACUUGAUUUCUCAUCAAAUUUAUGUGAAUUUAGUUUAAACUCUUAAUUAGUAAUUUCUUUUUUGAAUUGUUGAUUUAUAUAAAUGAAUUUAAAGCUUGAAACUUCUUCUUUUUUUUUUUUUAUAACUCGGAGUGUCCGGGCUAGCUUACGCGUACCACGACUAAUCUCCGGACCCACUGAACACCCUGCAAGCCCAGUAGAUAGGGAAGACACCACGGGGGUGACAGGCGUGCACGCUGAGGCUUGAACUCAGGAAGCAGAAGCAGGGAAACCCUGCCAGGACCGCUGGCCACAAGCCUCGGUGCAAAGCUUGAAACUUCUUGCUGCUGCUGCCGCUGUAAGAAUAUCAAUGUAGCUAUUUUUUUCUUUUACCAGAGUUUGUAUUUACUACAUAUUUUUCAUGUAAACUAAGCAAGACGUAUAUCAUAACGCAGGAGGGAGAGAAUGUUAAGUAAUAUUUAUCUAGUUUUAUUUAUUGAGGGUAGAAUAGUAUUUUCAGUUUAACCUGCUGCCGCUGUAAGAAUAUCAAUGUAGCUAUUUUUUUCUUUUACCAGAGUUUGUAUUUACUACAUAUUUUUCAUGUAAACUAAGCAAGACGUAUAUCAUAACGCAGGAGGGAGAGAAAACUCAUAGAAACAAUCAAUCUAGUCAUACGACAUCGUUAUAUAUUAUUUAAAAAAAUUAAUCAUUCUGUGUUACUUUCCUGGAAGCAAUAGAAUUUUAUUAGUGACUGCAUCCUGACCACCCUAUGAUUUAUUAUGAUCAACAAAUAGUUCAUUCUCCAGUCUAGAUUUGAUUCUGUCAUGGAUGAACGCCUUCCCAUCAUUAUUUGUGUGCAAGAAUAUGUAGCACUUUGAACUUGUAAGGUUGUAGUCUAGGUUUAAUUCUUUUUUAAUUUAUUUAUUUUGUUGUUGUUCUAUUUAGCAUCUGCCUGCAAUAUCAGCACCUUAACUCAAAGAUCUAUCUCUGCCCCCAUAUAAAGUCUCUUAUUUAUGGACUUCUCUUCUCCUGUUGCUUGUAGAAUUCUUCUUCUUUCUCCCUGUCCAAUUAUCACUGGAAAACUCCAUCUGGUUGCCGACUUAUAGCAGCUGCAUAUCCACCCUUACAAGGACUCAUGCACACAUCUGCUGCCAGGAAUUUCUGUUGCUGCCGAUUCUUUUCUGCUGAUUUCUGCUCCACCUGGGUCCUCAUCAGAUCCAUGGUGUAAAACAAGAAAUUUACGUGAUUUUUGGAUCAUUUAUAUCUCUACAUAUAAUGGUUGAUAUAAUACAAAAGAGAGAUGAAGACUUCUAGAGAGAGGAGUCUAUUAAUGAUGGUGACAUCCAUGAAAGGGUCCAGAAAAGAAAUAAAGACCUGGAAUUACAGUAUAGUUUUCAAGACUUGUUGAAGUUUCUAAAACUUUUUGGAUGAAUUAAAAUCGACUUCGAGGUUGGAAUGAGUUUGUAGAGGCUGUUGAAUUUACUACAACUAAUUAAGUUGCUAUUUUCUUCCUGUGCAUGCAAAUCUUAUAUCGGUGGAGAAAAACUUAAUAGAGAGACUAUAAUGCCUUGCUCAGAUCACAUCAACGCUGCAAUUUAGACUUGAAUAAAAUUACUAUUAGGAUCAAACUGGCUCUAUCAUUCUCAGCAAAUCAGAAUUUGUUUUCCCCAUACAGAUACUAUAAGCAGGCAACCUUCUGUGUAUCUUAAUCAAAAUGAUUCAACUAGAUAUCGAAUAGUGGCAUCUGAGCUUCAUUUUGAAACAUAUUUGAAUAAUUUCCUGCCACUUCUCCUGAAAACAUGGUGUGAUUUCUUGAAAGUUAUCUAUAUAUCAUUUAAAAAUAAUCACAAUCUAAUUAAAACACAAACCCAAGAUUUAUUUGAAAAAAUACAUAUCAAAUAAUGCAUUAUUUUUUUUAAAAAAAUUAAAAAUAAAUAAAUUAGGUCAAGCCUAACACUUGACCCAAUAAAACAAUGGCCCGCAUGCGGGCCUGCAAGGCCAAGCGUAAGCACAGACCUUUAUUUUUUUAAGUUUAAUGGGGCGAGUAGACGUGUCAUCCACUCUAAGCAUUUCAAAAAAAAAAGACGUCUGCAUCAGCAAACAACGCAUCGUUUACACAACCUAGAAUCCGGUCACUGUGGCGGUUGGAAAAUCAGGGUCCUUUGUUAUUUUUACCCAAAAAUUCAAUUUAUAUCCAUUUUUUACUCAAAACUCUUAGAAAGCACCCUAUAGACCUUCUUGAACGGCCGUCAAAAAACAACCCAAAACCUGAAAUCCACCAAACAAAAUAUUUCGAAGCUCAGAUCUAUUUUUGUUGGUGUUUUCAAGGUAAACAAACACCUAGUCAUAACUUCCCUCAUCAUAAAGAACCUUUUAAUGGUCAAGACUGUUUGAUAGCUGAAAUCUUUUCAAACGAUCACUUUUUCUCUCUAAAUUGGAAUUCGACGGCUUCCUCUCUCUCCUCUCACCAAAAAAGAAUUGAAAAAAAAAGAGAAAAAUGAAGUUAAGUACUAACAUAUAUUUUUUAAAAAUUUAAGGGAUUGGUCACCUAAUAUCUAUCUAAAAAAAAUUAGGGACUAAAAUGGCUUUUUUUUUCCAUCUGUUUGGGUGAUGUUGGUGGGCUUUGGUCUGGAAGCAUGAUUGUUUUUAUUCUUGGGCUAUUUGUUUCUUUUGCUUGGGCCUGCUACCUAUUGUGUUCGACUCAUCAACUCAUUUUGCAUCUGCCUUUCACUCUGCCUCUCUUCACGUGGUUUCCCGCCCUGCCCUUCUCUCUCAAUUGAAGCCACCAAUGGGAGUGCAUCUCUUUGUCCUUUCAAUUUACAGUGUUGGCGCGCCUUGCUAACUUUUUUUUUACUGCCAUCCCUGGCUGCUAUUUCGGCUUGCUGUUUCUAGGGGUGGGUGCUGAUUGGAUGAAUUCUAGGUUUGAUUCACUAGUCUUCCUCGCUUGAUUGAUGCUCUGGGAUCGCUGCCCAUGAAAGACGCUCCCAUCUUAGCAAGUUGUGCAGGAUGUUUAGGGUUCUGUUUUGUUGGGAUGGGUGCUAGACGAACGUGCUUGCCUCUUCAACUGGAUUUGGUUUCGAUGGCCCAUUCCAUCUUCUUUGAUUGAUGAGAGUUUAGGUAUGAAUUUUCAGCUUGAUUUGAAUCUUGCAUCAACUUUGAUUGAUGAGAGUUUAGGUAUGAAUUUUCAACUUUGAUUGAUGAGAGUUUAAAUUGUCCCUUCAAUUUACAGUGUUGGCGCACCUUGCCAUUAAAAUUGGAGUUUGAUAAUAAUUUUUCUGGACAAGUCUUUGUAUUAAAAUUGUAUCAAUUUCUAUAUGAAUCUUUAAAAAAACUUAAACUUUAGGUGUAAUGGAAUCUACCCAAAUAGACACGCUAUAACUGCAAUGUAAGGAAAUGACUAAAUUACUUACAAACUUGAUAAAAUAGUCAAUUGUAAAAGAUAAAAAUAUGGUUUAUAAAACUACUAAAUACUAAUUAAUUAUCAUAAAUACCUCUAGGUUUUGGGGUUCCAUUUCCAUGUACUUUGCGAGGGUUUCUUGGACGGCAAGCCAAAAAUGAGAUUAAAUCUAAGCUAUUGAUAUAAAACCAUGAGAAAAAUCCAAUGGUGAAUAGGAAAUCCAAGUCAUCUUUCCAUGUCAAAAUGAUUUCCCUCUCAUACCAAAACCUAAACCAACCAUUGGCGUCAUUUUACAACUGUCAUAACUGAAAUUUCCUUCUUGUCACAAGUCAAGUUUGAUUCGAGGGGAGGAAAGAAUUGCACUGGACAUAAGGUUGUUUUCAAAUCAAAUGAACCUUAGACAAUAUGACCAUUAUGAUUUAGUUAUAGCUAUACAAGAGUUUUAUUAGUGCAGGGUUUGUUAAGAAAAGAUGCCACGUAUGGCCAAUAGCAAGAAUAUAGAAAGUUAUCUUCAUAUAUAAGAUCUGUAACAGAAUUGGAGAAGGAUAAUAAUUAACAUAAUGAAUGAAUGUUGAGCUGAAUUCGUGGAAUUCUGCUUCUAUCUCUCUCUUCUUCUUCCAUCUGCUCACUAACCUGUAAACACCAUGACUGGAACUUGGCUACCAGCCAUUUCCAUCACUAAGGCACCUCUGGAUGUUAUCCAGAUUGGUUCCCACUCAAUCAGACACGCAACACUUCUCCUUUUAUUCUCAUUCUUAAAAUCUCUAAGUAGUUAUGAUUUGUUUGAUUUUUUUAAAUCAAUUUCUGGGUUUAUCUAUUUUUGUGUGCUUGAAUUGAUAUUGGGUUUUAAAAUUAUGGGUUCUUUGAUUUUUUUGAAGAAAUUGAGUAUCCCGGUUGAUUUUUGAACAAACUCUGUUUCUGGGUGUUUAUAGUUUUGUGUUCUCAGCUUUAUUUUGGGAUUUUCAAUCAUGGUUCUUUGACCAAGCUGAACAAUGAAAUUGGCAACAGCCCUGACAACUGGUUUUGGGACAGGUUUUGAAAGUGCCCCAGAACAUAUGGAAUCAACCCAGAUAGUAAAUUGGAACUCAAAUCAAGAUAUUGCAGACUAAGGAGAUUCUGGAAAGUGGCUGGGAUCAGACCUGAUAAUGAAAUUCUUUCUUAACUAAAUUGCUGGAGCUUUUCAAAGUUUCCUAGGCUAGGAAGAAUCUGCCCUCUCAAAAGGUUUCCACUCAAUAAGAGGGUAUUGAGAAAGGACAAACGGCCUAAACCAGGAGGAAUUACAUAAAAAGAUUCGUUGAUUUCACUGUACAAGAUAUAAUUAAUUGUUCAUCAGAACGCUUGCCAACAACCUCGUUUCUGCUCAGCUGCUAUUGAUGAGCGUCGGUCAGAGACUUUGUUUGGGGGUCAUCUCCCUUCUCAUUUAAGCUAGGGCGUAUGUGUCAGUUUGGUUUCCCCUUGCAUGGGCUGGGCUGGAGCUAUUGCAUUUCGGGCUCAGCUCAUCUUCUCCUUUGUUGCAAUAUUUUUUUUCCCUGGCUGGCUUAAGCUUAAGUCUUAACCCGUUUUUCCCGCGCUUCUCUGUUAAUUCUAGAUCGAAGGCACCAGGGACAGAGCUCUUUUCAUGUUGCAGGAUGGCUUCUUUUUGGCCUUCUGGCGCGCAAGGUUAACGCAGCUUCUCAGCCCUUCUCCUCUUUCUUUUUUUAUUGAGUUUUCGGUUUGCUUUUUUGAGACAUCUCAUUGCUGAUGUGGCUGUUUUUUUCUCUGAUUUGCAGGUUAGUUAUUCCUGGAUUGGUGCACUGUAAUGAUUGCCCAUGAAAAACGCUUCAAUUUGACAAGUUAUUCAUAUUAUAAUUUGUGUCGGGGGAAGAGCUGAUUGAGCGUCCUAUUCAUCUGGGACUGGUUUCCUAGGGCCUGGCCAUUCCAUCUUCUUUAUGGGUUAGUGGCUAGGUAUGGUCUUCAUGCAGCCAGGUUUGGUAAAGCUUUAUUUUCAGUUUCAUUUUAUUUGCUUUUUUUAUUAAUUUCCCACACACCCUUACCACUCCAUUUCACUUCGUUUUAGGAUGGGCUGCCAUGUUUGCUAUGGCUAUCAUAGCUACUGCCCUGAUUAGCUUCUUUCUCAUCGUGUCAAGUUGUCUAAUUUUGUUCUUUAAAAGAGUAACGGAUAAAUGAUUAGUUGUUUUUCCCCCCUGAAAAAUAUGGUUGUGUGCUCUCUCAGUUUCUUUCUUGCAUUGUUUUUUGGUUGUUUUCUCUAUGGUGUUUAUUCUUGGUUUUGGUUCUUUAUUUUUUUUUCUCUUGGCAAUCUCUGUUCAUUGCUAAUUUUUUAUUUUGAUUGUAUGGCUGUGAAAAUUGGUUUUGCUAAUCUUUGUUGAAUGUUUUUGGGCGGUGGCUAUAUUGGUUGUUUUGAUCUAUUUGCUCUGCAUCUGUUUUACCUUUUGGUUAUUUUUUGCUCUUGCAAUCCCUAUUUGGUGUUUUUUCUUCGUUUUUUUUUAUUGUUUUGUUUGCUAGGUUUUUUGUGUGGGGCCUCUUCUCCUGCGUUUCCAACUUUGUUGGGUGAGCUUAUGUGGUUUUAUUUUGCUGGUAAGAUCAAUAAUUGAGGUCCUUUUGCAACUAUUUUUUUUUCUUUAAAGAUUAGUGCAUUCAUGAGUUGUUUUGUCAUGUUCUUCCUUUGUGGAUGUUCUAGACUUCAAGUUUGUUGCUCUUGGUUGUGGCUGGCUGGGUGCUGAAAAAAUUUCUUUAAAAAAGAGAACUGGCCAUAUAAUAGCUUGCUUGGCUAGGCAUAUUAUAUUGAUUUUGCCACAUUUUUUUAUUGGCUCAAAUUAUGAAUUUUUUAAGCAUAUUGUUCUCAAUAUAUAUGCUUCUUAUAUGAAAAGUGAUUACACAUGAUUGAUGUCUUAAUAAAUUGAUUUAUUUCAUUUGUUUGGACAGGAAAUAGAAAGUGGUUUCACUUCUGGAGAUUCUUGUCUUUGUAGCUUCUGACAAGGCUGAGGUGUAUGCAUUGUGGCAUUAAAUAUGAGAAGAAAGUGACCAUUUGUACAUGAAGGGGUCGCAUCACAUGCUGAUGCUAAAGAUUUUGGUCUACGUUGAUGUGUUUACUACUUUCUAGCAAAUCUUGACUUGGAGUCAGUUGGAGUCAUAUAUGUACCACCUCUCUUGGUUCCCUCUCCCUCAUUCUCUCUAGUUGUCUACAGUUCUAUGUUUAAGUCAGUCGCCAAAUGUUUGGUGUUUGGCUGUUGUUAUUCAAGAACUAAAUUAUUUAUACAUUGAAGCGAAAGAAUGCAGCGUAUUAUUUUGGUUUUCUUUCUCAUCAAUUUUCAUUUCAAUCGAUCCUUGGAAAAAAGGUCUAUGUCCAUCUUUCCAUCUUUCUUUCGUGGUUGUUGUCUUUCUUUUUAUUCGUUGGCUUUUCGAUCUAUUUAAAUAUUGCUAGUUUUGUGAUGGUGUUGUUAUUCAAUUGAUCUAGUUGUCCCCUUCUUUGCAGGUUUUUCAUUUGCAGGCCUUUGCUUCUUUUUCUUAUCUUUCUCUGCCUUUCCCCUGUUUCUGUAGUUGACAGUGGUGGGUUCUUGGUUGCUUCUCUUAGAGCUUUUCAUUAGAAUGGCUUCACCUGUGGUUUUGGUGAGCUUGUGUUGAUCUAGUUUCAAAUUUGGCUGCUGUCUUUUUUUUGGAUCUGUGCCUUUUGGAUUAUCUUUCAACUUUUAUGUCUACAUUUGUGUUGUUUUUAAAUGGAUUUUCUCGCCCUUCUCAUUUGCAGAAGUUCCAGCUGGACAACUACAUUGGUUCUUUCCCACGCACUGCGCCCUUUUCCUCCUGCGCCUGAGAAGUUUGUUGAUGUUCUCCAGAGUCUUUUUCUUGCGUCCAUCCAUCUUCCUAUAUGAUUGCUGACUUUUCUUUAGUUUAAUGUUGUUUUCUUUUCUUUUGUUCUACUCGUCUUUCCUCUUCCUUUACCUUUGUUUUCUAAUUUUUAUUGUCGAACAUCUAUCACUUGCCUUAUUGUUUUGCUGUCAACUCUGCUAGGAUCAGCUUCUUGGUCUUUUUUCAAGGAUCUGACAGUACAUCUCACUUUUUUUCUUUCGCUUAUACAUGUUCUUAGCUUCUCAUAGUUGUUACUUUAAGUACCCCUCCUUUGCUCAAUCCGCAUCCAUCUUUCUUUUAAGUUUACUUCUACAUAGUUGUUAUGCUCCCAGCCUCUAUUUUUACCCCGGAAGCAGUUCUUUUUGUGUUUUUUUUGCUGCCGCAGUUGUUUUCUCUUAUACAAUGUGCAUGCACUCUUAUACCCUUUUUGUUUUUUAUCCAACAUUUCGUAUUAUUUUGCUGGCUCAGUGUCCUAUUCAUCACUAGAUUUAUGACUGCAAGGUGUUGUUUAUGUUGGUACUUUGUUAGCGAUCUCGGGCCCUAUAAUUAGAUUUUUUAAGAGGCCUUUAUUCUCCUCUUUUUCAUUUUUUUUUGUUAUUUUCCUUGAAUUUUCCAGCCUGUUGUGCAGCACAUGUGCUUUUGUUGUGAUCUUUGUUUAUGUAAUUUUGAUAAGCAUAUGACAAAAAUCCUGGUUAAAUUAUUGUUUCUUUUGAGGUGAAAGAUAUUGGAAAACCAGACUUGAAAAAUUCAGUCGUGCAUAAAGCAAAUGAGCCUCUAUUAUAAAAUCUUGAGAGAGCAUAUAUACAAUUAGACAUUGAUGAAGAAGAAGCAAUAACCUAGAAGUUAAAAAUCAUGGGAUCUUUUUUUAAGGGAACAUUGAGUAGAAGAAACUUACUCUGCUAGUGCAAAGAGUUCUAGCUUGGAAAAUACUGUUGUCCUAUGGUUUGAUUUGGUUGUUAAAUACGAAGCAUCAUGUUGGGAGAUUGAGAUGCAAUUUUGGAGUGAUUGUGUUCCUCUUUAUAAGCCAAAACUAACAUGUUAAGAUCCCCCAGGCUCCUUUCCACAUGUUUUCUUACGGGGCAUCCCCUCCUGCUGCUGCAUGUAUUCUCCUUUGAAACUUUAUAUCAAUGGGAUGCCAAGGCUUAAACACUUGAACAAGUUCUCCCAUUCUUUGAAGCUCAAACUCUCACCUUCUAACUCCAGUUUUUGCAGACCCCAUAUUAAGGUAUGUUUUCACAGAAGAGUUUUCCUUUUAUGAAAAUGGUAAUGCUUUUGACUGCCUUUUCUUACCUAGGCAUUAGGCACUAGCUUUUGAGCUGGAAAUUUUUAGAGCCAUUGAUGUAUUUUCUUUGCCGGAAUGCGUCUUGUGCGAUAAGGAUGUGUUCGUAGGAAAUGUGGGAGAGGAUUGAUAGGGUGGUUGGUGGGCUCGAUCCAUGUCACCUUUUGACCACAAGUUGUUAGAUAUAAGAAUGUCACCUUUUGGUCAUCUAAUCGCAAAGUUGUUUUUCCACAUCACUUUCAUUCUCAAACCUCAUGGUCAACUCCUCGUCAGUCUUCUUCUCCUCAGCAGGCUUCUCCCUGACAAUCCAAUCGUAACAACUAUCAACGACAUGGCUACAGAGGUGUUUGUCAAUUCUGUGACCAACAAGGUCAUAGUGCAAAGCAAUGUCUACUUACAAAGGGUCUUCCCGGUCCCUCACCUGUUGCUCACUGCACCACCACAAACACUGCCCCUAGACAACCUUGGCUCCUGGAUUCUGCUGCCACAAAUCAUGUCACCUCUUAUCUUCACAACCUUUCCUUUCACUCAUCCUAUGAUGGUCCUGAUUCAAUACUCAUUGGUGAUGGUACAGGUUUGCGUAUCUCUCAUUCUGGUUCCACUACACUUUCUCCCUUCACUCUCUCUAAUGUUCUAUGUGUUCCUUCAAUUCAAAAAAAUCUGGUGUCUGUUUCUUAAUUUUGCAAACAACAUCUAACUUCCAUUGAAUUCUUUCCCUCUCAUUUUUCUGUGAAGGACCUACGCAUGAGGCAGACUCUUCUUCAAUGCCCGAAUAAGAAUGAUAUUUAUGAAUGGCCUUUAACUGUACAUGUGCAACCGUCUGCUAUGAUUGGUGUCAAAACAUCAGUAAAUGAGUAGCAUAAACGGCUCGGUCAUCCCUCUUCUCGCACAAUUCAAUCUCUUCUCAAGAAUUUUUCUUUACCUGUCACAUCAAAAAAUAUGUGUUCAACAUUGUGCUCAUCUCGCCAAUGUAAUAAAAGUCACAAGCUUCCAUUUACAAUGUCGUCUCUUACAAGUCAUAGUCCUCUUGAAAUCAUUUACACUGAUGUCUGGGGUCCUGCCUCUGUUGAAUCCAUUGAUCAAAACAAAUAUUUUGUUAUUUUUGUGGAUCAUUUCACUAAAUACAUUUGGCUUUAUCCCAUUAAAUACAAAUCUAAUGUGUUCACUAUUUUUCCAACCUUCAAAAAUCUUGUGGAAAAUUACUUCAAAACCAAAAUAAUUCCAUUUAUUCAGACGGUGGGGGUGAGAUUCAAAAACUCAAACCUUUUUUAGCAAAAUUUGGCAUCUCUCAUCUCAUGACGCCACCUCAUACACCUCAACAUAAUGGCAUUGUCGAACGUCGUCAUCGCCAUAUCGUUGAAACCGGUCUAACUCUUCUUCACCAGUCUAAUUUUCCUCUUAAGUUUUGGUCUCAUGCCUUCCAAACUGCCACCUACCUUAUAAAUCAUCUUCCCACACCUAUUCUAAAUAAUCGUUCCCCCUUUCACGCUUUUUUUGGUGAAGUUCCAAACUACUCCAAACUCCGUGUUUUUGGUUGUUUAUGUUUUCCUUGGUUACGUCCCUACAACAAUCACAAACUUGAACCAUGUUCCCAUCCCUGUAUUUUCCUAGGCUAUUCCCUCACCCAAAGUGCUUACAAAUGUUUUGAUCCCUUAAAAAAUCAUAUUUUUCUAACCCGUCAUGUGGUCUUUGAUGAAUCCGUCUUUCCAUCCCUCUCCUCUACCCAACAAUCCCCUUCCAUUAUCAAUUCUUCACAUCUAUCGGAUGACUUAUCUCCCAUCAUUGUCCCACUCAUCACUGGCUUCAUGCAACACUAACCAUUGCGAUCACCAACCCCAGUCUCAUGCACAGCUCCACGAUCUCCAUCCAUAUCAUCUUCUUUGGGCACUGAAGCUACUGCCACAAUGGUUCCUUCUAAUAUCCUCCCAUCUCCACUUCCUACGAACAUAUCCAAUCCAAUCAAUACCUCAUCUUCACACCUCAACCAAACUCGCUCCUAAAAUGGCUUUUUUAGACCAAACCGUCACCUUAAUGCCACCACCAGAUAUAACCUCCCUGACAUAGAAGAACCCUCCUCUGCUUCACAGGCUCUUCGUGACCCAAAAUGGCAAACUGUCAUGUCGGAUGAAUUCAAUGCCUUACUACAUAAUGGCACGUGGGAUCUUGUCCCACCCUCUUCAUCCACAAACUUGGUUGGUUGUAAAUGGGUUUUCAGAAUCAAACGCAACUCAGAUGGCGCAGUUGAUCGUUACAAAGCACGUUUAGUUGCAAAAGGUUUUCACCAGCAACCGGGCAUUGAUUAUAAAGAAACUUUCAGUCCUGUCAUCAAGCCCACAACAAUCCGAAUUGUUCUUAGCCUUGCUGUUGCCAAUAACUAGCCACUUCGCCAACUAGAUAUCAAUAACGCAUUUCUUCAUGGUACACUGUCUGAAGCAAUGUUUAUGUCUCAGCCUCCAGGUUUUACUGAUUCAUAAUUUCCCACUCAUGUCUGCCAGCUUCGUAAAGACCUUUAUGGUCUCAGACAAGCCCCACAGGCUUGGUAUCAUGAGCUUCGCUCUUUUCUGCUAUCUUAUGGUUUUACAGGUGGCUUGUGGACUUUUGUAGCUCUCCACGGAGCUUUUGGGCUAAUAGGUUUUAUGUUACUUCAAUUUGAACUUGCUUGAUCCGUGCAAUUACGACCUUUUAACCCUACUGAUGAGUCUGGAGGAAAGACUGGUGAAUCAGGCAACCCCUCUACCAAUGUAGUUUCUGAUCCUUCUUUAUUUAUAUAUAAUCACAAUGCACAGCUCAUCGAUUUUCUGGUAUACGUUGAUGAUUUAGUUGUCACUGCAGUGAUCCUUCUUCCAUUGCUAGAUUCAUUGCAGCUAUAUCAACAAAAUUCUCAGUCAAAGAUCUCGGCUCACUACAUUACUUCCUUAGUAUUGAAGUGCUUCCCACCUCCUCAGGUCUGUUUCUCUCACAGCACAAAUAUAUUUGUGAUCUCUUAGUUCGCACCCGCAUGGAAGGUGCUCAAAAGGUUGGCACUCCUCUCACUACCACAAGCUCCCUUGUUCUUAAAGAUGGUUCACCUCCUGCAAAUGCCACUAAAUAUAGGAGUGUCAUUGGGGCACUGCAAUACCUAAAUCUCACUCGGCCAGAUAUAUCUUUCACUGUCAACAAGCUCUCUCAAUUCAUGCAUUGCCCUACCAAAUCCCACUGGAUUGCCACUAAAUGUCUACUACGAUAUCUUAAAGGCACCAUCUUUCACGAUCUACAUCUUCGCAGGCAUCGUAAUCCUUCAUUGCAUGCGUUAUCUGAUGCUGAUUGGGCUGGGAAUUUAGAUGAUCGAACUUCAACCACUGCUUAUGUAAUCUUUCUUGGCAACAAUCCAAUCUCAUGGAGUUCCCGAAAACAAAGGUCUGUUGCACGGUCUUCCACAGAAGCUGAGUAACGGGCUAUUGCUACCACAGCUGCAGAACUUGCAUGGGUUCAAUCUCUCCUGACAGAACUCCAAUUUCCUCUCCCAUGCACCCCGGUUAUAUAUUGUGAUAACAUUGGUGCUAAUUAUGUUUGUGCCAACCCAGUGUUUCACUCUCGCAUGAAGCAUAUUGCUAUUGAUUUUCACUUUGUUCGUGACAAAGUGGCUCACGGUUCUCUACGUGUCUCCCAUGUUGCUACUGCUGAUCAGCUGGCCGAUGCUUUAAGAAAGCCUUUAUCCAGACAAUGACUCUCCUUUUUAUUAUCCAAGAUUGGUAUCUCCGAUGGGAGCACCAUCUUGCGGGGGCGUGUAAAGAAUAUCCACAAUCCACUCAAUACAAGUUGACUACUUCAGCUUGUAAACCGACAACAAUAAUUCAAAAUAGUUUCUUAUCCUUUAUCCUUAGCUAAUGUAACAAACUAGGUAAUUUGUAGCUCAUGCAAACCUGUAUUUAAACAGUAACAAGAAUACUGAAUAAUUAUCAAAGGAAAUUAUCUCUACUUCUCUGCUUCUUUAUGAAUAACCAUUCCAUGACUUCCUUCAGGAUGUGCAAAUGCAACAUAGUAGCUCACAGCCUUUGAUCAUCCAUCGUUAUCAUUUCAUGUUCUGUUUUUAUCACUUUCUUUGUAAUGACUGCCGAAACUGAGUAUCUACGUUUCUAAACCAUACGUGUUCUUAUAGAGGAUCACCAUUAAAGAAAUUAAGAGCCAUCCAUGGUUCUUGAAGAACUUGCCAAGGGAACUGACAGAAGCAGCUCAGGCCAUGUACUACAGGAGAGAAAAUCCCACCUUUUCUCUUCAAAGUGUUGAAGAAAUCAUGAAGAUCAUGGAAGAGGAAAAAAUUCCCCCACUAGUAUCCAGAUCUAUUGGAGGCUUUGGCUGGGAAGGAGAAGAAGAUGGUGACAUGAAGAAAAAAUCAAUAACGUGGAAGAUGAGUAUGAGAAGAGAGUUAAGGAGGCACAAGCACGUGGGGAGUUUCAUGUGAGUUAAGAUCCAUCCUCUCUUCCUUGCACAUUCACGGUCUUAACCUCAUCCUUUGAAUAUUUAUAGGAUCCUUUGAAGCUUUGUGUAAAACUGUGUGUCAGUGAGCUGGUC